RNAcentral lists this unclassified non-coding RNA (332 nucleotides) under soil metagenome. RNAcentral's name for it is "partial contains 5.8S ribosomal RNA, internal transcribed spacer 2, and large subunit ribosomal RNA". The stretch from base 1 to 120 matches the Rfam family "5.8S ribosomal RNA", at positions 35 to 154 of the family's 154-position model. The record is from RNAcentral.
GAUGAAGAACGUAGCGAAAUGCGAUAAGUAGUGUGAAUUGCAGAAUUCAGUGAAUCAUCGAAUCUUUGAACGCACAUUGCGCCCUUUGGUAUUCCUUAGGGCAUGCCUGUUCGAGCGUCAUUUAAACCUUCAAGCUAAGCUUGGUGUUGGGUGACUGUCCGCUUCACGGCGGACUCGCCUCAAAAUUAUUGGCGGCCGGUACAUUGGCUUCGAGCGCAGCAGAAACGCGAACUCGGGCCCGUCGUAUUGGCUCCCAGAAGCUAUCUUAACAAUUUUGACCUCGGAUCAGGUAGGGAUACCCGCUGAACUUAAGCAUAUCAAUAAGCGGAGGA